UAGGGAAUCUUCGGCAAUGGACGAAAGUCUGACCGAGCAACGCCGCGUGAGUGAAGAAGGUUUUCGGAUCGUAAAACUCUGUUGUUAGAGAAGAACAAGGACGUUAGUAACUGAACGUCCCCUGACGGUAUCUAACCAGAAAGCCACGGCUAACUACGUGCCAGCAGCCGCGGUAAUACGUAGGUGGCAAGCGUUGUCCGGAUUUAUUGGGCGUAAAGCGAGCGCAGGCGGUUUCUUAAGUCUGAUGUGAAAGCCCCCGGCUCAACCGGGGAGGGUCAUUGGAAACUGGGAGACUUGAGUGGAGAAGAGGAGAGUGGAAGUCCAUGUGUAGCGGUGAAAUGCGUAGAUAUAUGGAGGAACGCCGGUGGCGAAGGCGGCUCUCUGGUCUGUAACUGACGCUGAGGCUCGAAAGCGUGGGGAGCAAACAGG
RNAcentral lists this ribosomal RNA (429 nucleotides) under Gemmatimonadota bacterium. RNAcentral's name for it is "Gemmatimonadetes bacterium partial 16S ribosomal RNA". It matches the Rfam family "Bacterial small subunit ribosomal RNA", at positions 355 to 776 of the family's 1533-position model. The record is from RNAcentral. Lineage: Bacteria; Pseudomonadati; Gemmatimonadota.